Molecule: transfer RNA, 82 nt
Filed under: Lepisosteus oculatus (spotted gar)
Lineage: Eukaryota; Metazoa; Chordata; Actinopteri; Semionotiformes; Lepisosteidae
Rfam family: tRNA
About the family: Transfer RNA (tRNA) molecules are approximately 80 nucleotides in length.
Source: Rfam by way of RNAcentral
GGUAGUUUUGCCGAGUGGUCUAAAGCACUUGAUUUAGGCUCCAGUCUCUUUGGAGGCGUGGGUUUGAAUCCCACCACUGCCA